CAGCAGCCACGGUAAUACGAAGGGGGCUAGCGUUGUUCGGAAUAACUGGGCGUAAAGGGCGCGUAGGCGGAUCUUUAAGUCAGGGGUGAAAUCCCAAGGCUCAACCUUGGAACUGCCUUUGAUACUGGAGAUCUUGAGUCCGGGAGAGGUGAGUGGAACUGCGAGUGUAGAGGUGAAAUUCGUAGAUAUUCGCAAGAACACCAGUGGCGAAGGCGGCUCACUGGCCCGGUACUGACGCUGAGGCGCGAAAGCGUGGGGAGCAAACAGGAUUAGAUACCCCCGUAGUCCCUGUCUCUUAUAA
Molecule: ribosomal RNA, 301 nt
Filed under: uncultured bacterium
Lineage: Bacteria
Description: partial 16S ribosomal RNA
Rfam family: Bacterial small subunit ribosomal RNA
Source: RNAcentral